AUGCACAAUUCAUAAUUUGGCAUGGUCAUAAUGCAUCUUAUCUGGUUAACCGUAAAGAACAACAUCACAAGUUCUAUCAUUUUCCUUAAAUUAAGAUAAUUAUCAUUAUCACUAUUACCUUGUAACAUGUUAGGUUCUCAAAAAACAAAAUGUUAGGUUCUCAAAAAACAAAAUGUUAGGUUCUCAAAAACCCAAUUUAACUAUAACAGAACAUAAUGAGCUUUUAAACAUACACAUGACACAGAGCCUAGUGCAACUCAUGACAACAUGUGUCUGUGGCAUAACUAAUAGAAAAUUAAUAGAAAUAAGUAAGCUUGGAGAUAAUUC
RNAcentral lists this long non-coding RNA (327 nucleotides) under Trifolium pratense (red clover). RNAcentral's name for it is "long non-coding RNA (TPRA_LNC002168)". Lineage: Eukaryota; Viridiplantae; Streptophyta; Magnoliopsida; Fabales; Fabaceae. The record is from RNAcentral.